UAGUUGGUCGUGAGGCUGACGAACGUUGAGUUGGGCUGAGCAAGGCUUUUGUCUCUAUUCGAAACUUGACCUCAAAUCAGGUAGGACUACCCGCUGAACUUAAGCAUAUCA
Molecule: ribosomal RNA, 111 nt
Filed under: Butyriboletus roseoflavus
Lineage: Eukaryota; Fungi; Basidiomycota; Agaricomycetes; Boletales; Boletaceae
Description: partial 28S ribosomal RNA
Source: RNAcentral